GAUGAACGCUGGCGGCGUGCCUAACACAUGCAAGUCGAGCGAAGCGCUUAAAUUAGAUUUCUUCGGAAUGACGAUUUUUGUGACUGAGCGGCGGACGGGUGAGUAACGCGUGGGUAACCUGCCUCAUACAGGGGGAUAACAGUUAGAAAUGACUGCUAAUACCGCAUAAGACCCCAGCUUCGCAUGAAGCGGUGGUAAAAACUCCGGUGGUAUGAGAUGGACGCGCGUCUGAUUAGCUAGUUGGUAAGGUAACGGCUUACCAAGGCGACGAUCAGUAGCCGAGAUGGGAGCGUGACCGGCCACGUUGGGACUGCGACACGGCCCAGAAUCCUACGGGAGGCAGCAGUGGAGAAUAUUGCACAAUGGGGGAAACCGUGAUGCAGCGACGCGGCGGGAAGGAUGAAGUAUUUCGGUAUGUAAACUUCUAUCAGCAGGGAAGAAAGUGACGGUACCUGACUAAGAAGCCCCGGCUAACUACGUG
RNAcentral lists this ribosomal RNA (481 nucleotides) under uncultured bacterium. RNAcentral describes it as "partial 16S ribosomal RNA". It matches the Rfam family "Bacterial small subunit ribosomal RNA", at positions 28 to 507 of the family's 1533-position model. The record is from RNAcentral.